GGAGAGGAGAGGAGAAGAUGAGAGGAGGAGAGAAGGCGAGUCACAGAACCGCGUGUGUGUGUGUGUGUGUGUGUGUGUGUGUGUGUGUGUGUGUGUGUGUGUGUGUGUGUGUGUAGACAGCUUCAUGAAACAGAUGCUGGUGAGAUGCGCCGGCGCUGCGUUUGAGCUCUGAAGGCUGAAUGGAGGCUCGGCAGCGCUGUCAAGGAGGCGCGGCGGCGUUUAGAAGGCGAGGAGACGCGGGGCAGGAAGAGGAAAAGGAGCCGUGCGGAGGCAUUCCCAGCGGACGGCCCCGCUACCAAUUUGUAAAGAGAAGAAGAAGCUGUUGGCCCUCCCUUCCGCCAGUCUGGAUCAGGAGAAGGUGGUACUUGAGGACUCGCUGCAUAGGAACCACCAGCAGAUCCCUUAGUGUGAACUUGCCGUAGUUGGCUCGCUUUGAACAUUCCUGCAUGAAGAUGGGAACGACAGAACAUCAGUUAAAGGGGCCGGUGAAUCACAACCGAUGAGGAGCAGCGGUGCAGCGCCUCGGGUCGCCACCGGAGGGCGCUCUCCAACCACUCAGCUCGGCUCCUCUCGUCACCGGAGACCGUUACCUCCAGCUUCAUGCGCACGUCCUCUCGGUUUUUGCAGAUUUCGUCCAGAGAGGCGAUGGCUGUCUCCACAUGGCUGCAGUAUUUCCCGUAGAUCAACAACCUGGAACAUGGGUGGAAAACACAGCAUUCCUGCUGAAAGCUGUAAAUGAGCACAAUAAGCAAACAUGUAGUCGCUGUGCUGUACCUCUCCUUGUAGGUGAUGAAGAUCUGGUAGAGGUUCUGGGCACUUCUGUGGUGGACUGAGUCAUGGAGGUCCAGCAAGAGGUCUUUGUGAACUUUAACCAGGUCCUGCAAACAGACUUGAUCCUUUUACAAUUCAUUUUCUUAGUUAGGAGCUAAAUUCACGCAUCUGUUUGUUUUGAGGAGUCGUUUCAUUGAAUGACAAGUGAAAGAUUCAGGAAAAGUUGUCAUACUGUAUUUUUUACAUUUAAGAUUUUAAUGUUUUUUAUUAUAUUUUAAUGCUUUCAUACAGCGCUAUGAUAAAUGUUUCAUAACAAAUAUAUAUUUUGAAUAAUCCU
Long non-coding RNA from Betta splendens (Siamese fighting fish), 1108 nucleotides. RefSeq lists it as uncharacterized. The transcript is spliced from 2 exons. Lineage: Eukaryota; Metazoa; Chordata; Actinopteri; Anabantiformes; Osphronemidae. The record is from RefSeq and is a predicted model, not a curated record.